Molecule: ribosomal RNA, 794 nt
Filed under: uncultured bacterium
Lineage: Bacteria
Description: bacterial SSU rRNA
Rfam family: Bacterial small subunit ribosomal RNA
Source: RNAcentral
AGAGUUUGAUCAUGGCUCAGGAUGAACGCUAGCGGCAGUAAUACAUGCAAGUCGAGGGGCAGCACGAAUAGCAAUAUUUGGUGGCGACCGGCAAACGGGUGCGGAACACGUACGCAACCUUCCCAAAACAGGUGAAUAGCCCUCCGAAAGNNGAUUAAUACACCGUGAGAUAUAGAUGUGGCAUCACAUUAAUAUUAUAGGUAGCAAUACCGGUUUUGGAUGGGCGUGCGCCUGAUUAGGUAGUUGGUGCGGGUAACGGCCCACCAAGCCUCCGAUCAGUAACUGGUGUGAGAGCACGACCAGUCACACGGGCACUGAGACACGGGCCCGACUCCUACGGGAGGCAGCAGUAAGGAAUAUUGGUCAAUGGACGGAAGUCUGAACCAGCCAUGCCGCGUGAAGGAUGACUGCCCUCUGGGUUGUAAACUUCUUUUAUCUGGGACGAAAAAAGGGCUUUUUAGCUCACUUGACGGUACCAGAGGAAUAAGCACCGGCUAACUCCGUGCCAGCAGCCGCGGUAAUACGGAGGGUGCAAGCGUUAUCCGGAUUUACUGGGUUUAAAGGGUGCGUAGGUGGGCAGGAAAGUCAGUGGUGAAAUCUCCGGGCUUAACCCGGAAACUGCCAUUGAUACUAUUUGUCUUGAAUACUUUGGAGGUAAGCGGAAUAUGUCAUGUAGCGGUGAAAUGCUUAGAUAUGGCACAGAACACCGAUCGCGAAGGCAGCUCACAAAACUGUAACUGACGCUGAGGCACGAAAGCGUGGGGAUCAAACAGGAUUAGAUACCCUAGUAGUCC